This 460-nucleotide ribosomal RNA is filed under the name uncultured bacterium. RNAcentral's name for it is "partial 16S ribosomal RNA". It matches the Rfam family "Bacterial small subunit ribosomal RNA", at positions 338 to 795 of the family's 1533-position model. The record is from RNAcentral.
CCUACGGGUGGCAGCAGUGAGGAAUAUUGGUCAAUGGACGAAAGUCUGAACCAGCCAAGCCGCGUGAAGGAAGACGGCUCUAUGAGUUGUAAACUGCUUUUAUACAAGGAUAAAACUGCAUACGUGUAUUUAGUUGCAAGUACUGUACGAAUAAGGAUCGGCUAACUCCGUGCCAGCAGCCGCGGUAAUACGGAGGAUCCGAGCGUUAUCCGGAUUUAUUGGGUUUAAAGGGUGCGUAGAAGGGUUGUUAAGUUAGUGGUGAAAUUUCCGAGCUUAACCCUGGAACUGCAACUGAUACUGGCAGUCUAGAGAGCAGUUGCGGUAGGCGGAAUGUGUGGUGUAGCGGUGAAAUGCUUAGAUAUCAUGCAGAACCCCGAUUGCGAAGGCAGCUUACCAAUCUAUAACUGACAUUGAUGCACGAAAGCGUGGGUAUCAAACAGGAUUAGCUACCCGUGUAGUC